GCGUCCUUAGCUCAGCUGGAUAGAGUACCUGGCUACGAACCAGGCGGUCGGAGGUUCGAAU
Molecule: transfer RNA, 61 nt
Filed under: Vibrio harveyi
Lineage: Bacteria; Pseudomonadati; Pseudomonadota; Gammaproteobacteria; Vibrionales; Vibrionaceae
Description: partial tRNA-OTHER
Rfam family: tRNA
About the family: Transfer RNA (tRNA) molecules are approximately 80 nucleotides in length.
Source: RNAcentral